This 518-nucleotide ribosomal RNA is filed under the name Cerceis sp. RW04.102.754. RNAcentral's name for it is "partial 16S ribosomal RNA". It matches the Rfam family "Bacterial large subunit ribosomal RNA", at positions 1796 to 2609 of the family's 2925-position model. Lineage: Eukaryota; Metazoa; Arthropoda; Malacostraca; Isopoda; Sphaeromatidae. The record is from RNAcentral.
UCGCCUGUUUAUCAAAAACAUCGUUGAAAAAUAAUUUCAAUAGGAUCUGCCCAGUGUUUAAAUAAACGGCCGCAGUAUCUUAACUGUGCUAAGGUAGCAUAAUCAUUUGUCUUUUAAUUGAAGACUGGAAUAAACGAUCUGACGAGAGAUUGCCUGUCUCUGUAUUUCAUCUAAUUUACUUAAAAGGUAAAAAAGCCUUUAAUACCUAAAAGGACGACAAGACCCUAUAAAACUUUACUUUCAACUGUCCUAGUAUCUCAGAAACCAAUUCGACUUUACAGAGCUAAGCUGGGGCGGCUAAUUUUAUUACAAUCAAAAUUUAAUCCAACAUCGUGAAUGAAGAGUAACAAACCUUUCACAAUUAAUAACAAGUUACUUUAGGGAUAACAGCGUAAAAUUUCUUAAGAGUUCUUAUCGUCAGAAAUGUAUACGACCUCGAUGUUGAAUUGGAUUACCUCGGUGAAGCAAUCCUCACUUAAGGAAGACUGUUCGUCUUGUAAGCUUCCACAUGAUCUGAG